Mytilus californianus (California mussel) is the source of this 230-nucleotide long non-coding RNA. RefSeq lists it as uncharacterized. NCBI's taxonomy places the organism in Eukaryota, Metazoa, Mollusca, Bivalvia, Mytilida, Mytilidae. The record is from RefSeq and is a predicted model, not a curated record. The transcript has 3 exons.
GAGACAUUACACAUGCUCCAUAAUGGGGCAAAAGUUACUUAUAUUAUGUGCCCUUGUGGUACUUAGCCAAGCAGCUAAACUACCUAAAUCACAGACUGCUACAUGUGCAAGACAAUGUACAGAAACGAAAAAAUUUGGAUACGAAACCGGAAAGACAUACGACUAUGAGUACACAUCAAAGGUGUCAACGACAAUACAAGGGGCUUCCGAAGAUAAAGCGGAAAUCGACA